UACGAAGGUGGCUAGCGUUGUUCGGAUUUAUUGGGCGUAAAGGGUCCGCAGGCGGUUUGAUAAGUCAGGUGUGAAAUCCAACAGCUUAACUGUUGACACGCAUUUGAUACUGUCAGACUAGAGUAUGAGAGGGGUAAGAGGAAUUUCCAGUGUAGGGGUGAAAUCCGUAGAUAUUGGAAAGAACACCGGCCGCGAGGGCGUUUUACUGGCUCAUUACUGACGCUCAGGGACGAAAGCUAGGGGAGCAAACGGG
Molecule: ribosomal RNA, 253 nt
Filed under: uncultured bacterium
Lineage: Bacteria
Description: partial 16S ribosomal RNA
Rfam family: Bacterial small subunit ribosomal RNA
Source: RNAcentral